This is a non-coding RNA of Cricetulus griseus (Chinese hamster), 3913 nucleotides long. NCBI's taxonomy places the organism in Eukaryota, Metazoa, Chordata, Mammalia, Rodentia, Cricetidae. The record is from RefSeq and is a predicted model, not a curated record.
AUUUGUACCUAAUAUAAGUCUCUGUAUAUUAUUUGGGGCCCUAACUUGGCAGGCAGAACUCAGGUGGCUGGCAGAAAGCGCCCACAUGGUGGUAGGGCUCGGGUGGCUUUUGGUGGAAAGAUUCAUUUUAACAGUAGUCAUUAUUUCUUUUACCAAAACUUCUGGUUAUAACUGAUUUUUGUGUAAUUCAGAAAAUUUGUUUUUGGAAGAUGGGUCAAUAUUUGUUGAACAUGUAAUGUGUUUGUGGUGAUAUUUUCAGUAUCUCCACAUCGAUACUAAUUUUUUCUGACAAUUCUGUGAAAUAAAUUCUAUAGCAUUCAUAUUUUCCAGAUGAAGAACAUGACAAAUUACAAAAUGAAAGUCUUCGGUCAUACAGCUAGAAUUCUUGAGUGUAUGCACAAAACUAAUUUCCAAUUCUCAUCUUGUUCAACAUUACUCAAAAAGAAAUUUUCCGAUCAAUUUUGCUAUGGUACUUUUGGUUCUUUGGAAGAAAAAGAUUGUUUUGUUCUUUUCAAAGUUGGUGCUUUAUGUUUGUGCUGGCUCUGUCCUGCUUAUCCUAGCUAGGAUCUGUUUCCUUGUCUAGUCUUGGUUACACAAGCUAAAUGACCUCUGCAAGCAACCCUUUCCCAGACUCUGCAGUCAACUUGAUUCUGGCCUGCAUAGAUCAUGAAUGGCAGGCCUUGGCUGCACUUAGAGGAUAGAUUAUAGGGAAAAGCCAGGUAUUUUUCUCCAGGGCCUGGCUAUCCCUGGCAUUAGAGAUGACACCAGGAGUAGCUGCUAAUUUCUGCAGGGCCUUCUGUGCUUCAAAGACCAAAAGUGUAUUCAUUGGUUUUUAUGAAUUAAAAUUUCUCUCUUUUAAAUGCUUAAAAUCAUUCUACUAUUAAUGUUGUCUCAUUCAGAGUUGAGGGAUCCAAUGUUGUAGCCAUACUCUUAAAGUAUUUUAAAAUUGUACAAACUUAAGUAUCCAAAUACAAAUGAAGGACUAUGCUUAUUAAAUCUACAAAAUUUUUAAGUGAAAAAUAUGAAUAUUUAGUAUUGCACUGAGGACUCAAGUCCUUCAGUGAAACAGCCAGGAUAUUAAGCAAAACACUUCUUUGUAAACAAUGCCUGUCAAGCCACUAAUAAAAUACAAUGAAUGUUGCAAAAAAUGAAGGUGUUUAAUCACAGAUAUCAUAAAAUUUAAAAAAUAUAAAUGUAUAUUUUUAAAAAUUAAAUUUAAAGGUUUUCAUUCAAAUUAUACCAACAACUAAAAUUCUUCUCCAAGCAGAAAAUGGAGAGUUUGGUGGUGGAAUACAGAUUAUUAUUACUCAUUGGAAGACAGCAAAGCUUCCAAACCACUCAGAAAGUUAAUCAGCAGUCAUAAAUGCAAACUACCUUGAGAUUUAGGUAGGAAAUGCAUGAGACAUAUAUUAUAAAGAUGAAUCCAUAUAGAAUAUCUCUCUCCAUGAAUCUUUCUAUAUUUUCAAUUAGCAUCAAAUUGGUAAAACAAAAAAAAUGUGAGAUAUUUUGAUAAAGAAAUAAAUGAAGACAACUUUUAAAUGAUUCAGCAGACUAGUCCCUGAUGGAAAAUAAUGCCAAUAUGUGUUGCAGUUGAUACUCUGAUCAAAAUGUCAUCAUUUCUUGAUAUUUUGUCAAAAUUGGAUGUGCAUGUGUGCUGUUUUUUCAGUGUUGAGAAUUCAACCCCAACUCAGUUUCCUUCCAGUUUUCCUUUCCAAAGAGCAAAGGCUCUUCAGUUGUCAGAAUGAUUACCUGGAUUGAAUUUUGCAAGAAGAACCACCAAUGUAAGUAUGGGUUUAUGUGUUUUUAAGAUUGGAUAGCCAGUCUAUGAAGAAAGAACUUAUAAUAAGUGAAGAACUAUUUCUGGAACUAGUGAACAAGCUCAAAAUCUUCACAAACAAAUUUUUAAUAUUUCAUUGUUAUUUUAUACCUAUGAAUUUAAUUUUUCAGAGUAUUUCAAUAUUUCAUGAGUCAUGUAUGUCAAGAUGAAAUUCUCUUUAGUACAAAAAUUAAAUGUUUUAAGGUGACAACUGUGAAUUAGACAGACUAUAAUUAUUUUACAUGUUUAGAAUAAACAAACCACUUCAAUGUCUAGAUCAGAAGAAAAUAGCUUUCUCUCUUCUAUCUUCUCUUUAUAUACAGAUAUUACAUAUCUAAACACACAGCAUUGAACCUGCAAAGUCCAAACUGAAAAAAACAGAAAGUUUCUUAGCCCAUUAAUAUUUACAUAUUAUACAUCUCUUUCAGCCUUCAAAAAGACAACUUUUAUAAUUUUAAACAUAUGUGUGUGUUUUAUGAAUUUUUUAAUUAUAGCAUUUUGUAGGAGAUUAAAAUAAACACCCACUUUUUUUUAGAAAUAAAUAAGAAUGACUUACACUCUAACCUAGUCAGAUGCUACCAGCCCAAGGUUUUUGUAGCUACUGUGGAAGUUUAAAAGACAAACUGAAGCAGUUAGUGGUCCCUCUCUUAUGGGAUGGAGAGAUCAAUUCUUGCUAUCUACAAGUUUUUGUUAGCAUCCAAGCACAUAGUAGCUUGGCUUAUAACUAUAUUAAUUUAUUUAAUAUGUAAUAUUUAAUAUAUAAUACAUGCAACUAGGAUUUAUUUCUUUGUUUCUUUCUUCCCCCAAUUAUGUCUUCACCAAUUACAGGACCAACACACAAUCCAAAAUCAUAGGGUUAAUAAACACCAUUGUCUGCAGAAGUGAUGACUGACUUUCUAUAGAUGUUACAUUUUAGAACUAUAAUGCAGACACAUAGCUGGACUUGGGACUAAUAUUAUUCAAGAAAUAGCUAUGCCAAGUGUUGGUGUGCUUAGAAAAGUGCACAGUGGAAAGAGGGUUUGGAUUGCUAGUUUUCCCCUGGAAGGUAUUUCAAGGAUUACAAAGAAACAAAAAAUACAGUUUAGUCAGAAGGUGGUAACUGAACAUCUAUGUUGAGAAAGGUGCUCAUUUCUUUUCAACAUAGGCGUCUGAAUAAUGAGACUCAUUUUAUGCCAUAAUUUACUUAAGUAAAGGUAAAACUUCUGAAUGUGUGUUUAAAGUUGAAACAUUUCUAAUUCCCAUAAGCUUUAAUGGUUUACUUCAAUAACAGGAAGGCUAUGGAGCCUUUUCUAACUAACCGUUUCUUUCUUAAGCAAUGAUAAUUGUUCUUCCUGUGAUCAAGUCACACAAUGAAGUAACUUUUCCUCCAGUGGGAAACACUCAGAGCCUUCAUUGCUCUGUGACCAAGAAAAUAAAUUCCUUCCCAACAGCCUCCUCCACAGGCUUAUCAGAAUCCAGUCAACUCCUGAUGCUUUUAUUCCUUCACUGCCUUUGCUUUUAUCCUGUUGCUUUUUCUGAAAUAACAUUUCAAGUGAUUAAAGCAUAUUUACUUAUCAUAGAAAAUACACAAGAGAAAGCUAUUAGAUAAAAACGAUCUGUAAUUCCAUAUUACCUGUUAACUUUUUAAUGUGGUUGUUAGAAUCCUGUUUCUAUGCUGUUAUACACUGAACUCUAAGAUACUUUGAAAUAAAUGUUGAAAGAUGCUGUGCAAUUUACUCAUAUCUACUUUGUACUAGUUUUUUUAACAUAGCUUUUUUCAUUCUAUAAUUUUUCUUCAAUAUUUCAAUAAUUACAUAUUAUUCUAUUUCCAUGUAUAAGAAUGGAUUUCACAAUGUGUUGUUUUUUACUUUUCCUUUCAAAUGUAAUGUAACUGAAACAUACUUGUAAAACUUAAACUCAUAGAUCUAAGAGUAAGAUCAUUAAACACUUUUAUUUUGCUAAGACUUCCAAGAUGUGAAAAAAGUAGGUUCUACAUUAAUAAUGUAAGAGGAUGCUGUUUAUUACUGUUGAGAGAGUAAUUCUUUAUUGUUUUAAUUUAUGAAUGUUAAUUGGUAAUAAAUUGACAAACAUUAAAACUUUAUAUACUUAUUUUGUGAA